UUGGUGUAAAACUGGCCGGUCAUCUUGUUUUUAAGUCUUCACUAAGGAUAAAAUCCUAGCUCCGCUGGAGUCAGUGGGAAUUUUGCUGUUGAUUUCAGUGGGGUAAGGAUAUCCUGGGGGAUGAUUAUUUCUCUCUGGAACGGUGAAAGCUGCUGCUCAAUACAGUAACCGGGGAUCAGUGUUUAGAGGUUACCAGGCAUGAUUGUCUGAGCUGAUCUGACUCACCUAAACUUGCAGAAAGUGAUAAGAAACGGGUGACUGGAGGGACUGAAGUAAUGAAACCAUAAUACUUGGAAAGAAAAAUACAAACAUCAGGAGCUGUUGGACAGCAAGACAGAAAAGAUUCAUGCUCAUCUCAAAAGGGGUGGAAAAUCUAAUGCUUCAGAUUCUUCAGGAUCCAAUGUGCCGCUGCCUGAAACGCUGUCUAGUGAAGUGGGAAAGAAGAACACUGAGGAGCUUAAAGGACAUUUUCUCAGGUCUGGGGUCUAUACUAGGAGUUAGAUUGAUGCAAGGCAGCUCACAUCGACCUAACUAUGGAAGUGUCUACACUAAAACUUAUUUCCCACUGAUGUAACUGCCCUGCUAUGUGGACUUAAUAACUCCACCUCCAUGAGCGGGGUAGAGUCCAGGUUGAUGUAGUUGAUGUAGUGUAGACGCUGCAUUGUGUAUAUCGACUGUUACUGGCUUUCAGAAGCCAUCCCACAAUGCCCCACGCUGCCAGUACAAUCGACACAAGCACUGCUGGUGAGGACGCGCACUGCGGAGACAAGGAGCAAAAUGUAGGCACCCACGAGUGAUGGAAUUACUGCGGUGGCUGAAUGCCAACGCAAAUUAAUUAAGCGAACUUGAUUUUGUCAUGUUGACAUGCCCUCCUUGUCAUUGUCCCCAUCAAAACAAAGCUGCUGUGAUCACUUAUGUCCUUGUUCUAGGCCUCUCUGGCAUCAGCUUUAGUCAGGAGCUGUCCCUGACCUCCACACUCCCAAAAUGGCAAAGAUUAACUGCUGUUUAUGCCAGCAAAACAACCCCAAGGCAACGACUUCAGCUUAAAAAGGAAGUUGCAAUGUCACCUUCUGCGUAGCACCAGAUAAGCAAUUUAUAGAAAGAACUGAAGCACUUUAUUCUAGGACAUGCUCCUCCAGACAGAUUUAAGCUCACAGGCCCAUUACUAGAUGCUGCAGAAGAAACAGAGGAAAAGAUGAAAGGAAGAGAUAGAAGACCCAAUGUUGGCAUUUCAUGCAAUGUGGGUGGACAAACACAAGAAAUGACCCAAUAAAGGCUACGACCUGCCAGGCGGGAAAAACAGGUUCCUUUGUAAUGGGACUGACCCCACACCUGAAGAGCAAAGAGCAGCAUAUUCUGACUCAACGUUGCUGAAGAUCCCAUCUGAGAAUGGAGAGAAAAGUAUGACAAGAAUGUCUCAGCCACUUGCUUAGACCCUAAAAAUGGAAUGGAAGAGAUGAGAGGACUUCGGCCUGCACUGCUGAUGCUGGGUGCACUAACCGUAAACCUUAGACCUUGCUGAGAGAGAAGGAAAAGCUACCACAGUGCUCGAGCUUCCCAAGCCCCCACCGGCUGCACGGCUGGGUGACUGAAGGAGGAUUGAUGCCCCGGCUUCCUGGUGACGCUUGGUAGAGCUCCCGGAACGACAUUUGCAGCCAGCUACCACAGGUAUGUUGCAAUUUGCUGUGAGCACAAGGAGCACUUUGAUCAAAGCACAGCAGGUACUGUGCACAGAAAACAGGGCUUUCAAGAGAGGCACUGAACUUCUAAAAGCCGUCAGAGGAUUUGGAGAACUUGAGGAAUCAUAUUGUUGAGGCCUCUGGAGAUCUGGCUUGAUCUAAAUCAACAACAAAGUGCACACGGAUCAAAACCUGCGCAGAGAUGCCACAGGACCGUUCCAUGAUGGAACCAGCGUGUCUGACCCCAAACCCAAAGGUCAGAGACUGAGCUUAGAAUAGGAAGAGGCUAGAAUGUGGUGGUGGAACAUAGCCCUGGGCUCCUGCCUGCCUUUCUAGUGUUUAAAACCGAGGCUCCAGCUGUCCCUCCCCAGCCUGUGUUUGUGAAAGAGACUCUGUCAUGGAUCAUCUUGUCAAAAUGGCAGGUCACAGCAGGCAGGCCAGCUGAGUUCCGUCUAGCCAGCCCAGCGCCCAAGCAUGUUUUAGCACAUGUGAAUUGGCUUGGCCACAGGCUAGGUGCUGAGAAAGCAAACAGGCUGGGGUGAGCAGGUAUCUGAGGGUAGAUUCACAAGAGAGUGCCGAGCCUCACUACUUAGUUUCCUGGGCAUGUGGCCUCGUGGUGGAUUGACAGUGUGCGUGGAGCUCAAGUGGCAGAGCUCGGCCAGGACGGUGCCAUCUGUAUACAAGUGAUUGCAGGUGGCUGCUCCAGCUCUGCUGAGAGCUGCAGCCUGUCAAGUGCCAACGGUCUCUGCUCAGAGCUGGCCCUUGCGGUGCCAGCCCCAGGCUUUGGCCACACCAGCCUGGUGUGCACGGCCCAUCCAGCUGCCCCUGCUGUACCCAGAGCCAGGGCAUCCCCAGCUGGCAGAGUGCGGGGUGAGGGGAGAGGACUCUGGGGACCCAGCAUCUCUCUGUGCCCACGGCACCAACGCUCUCCCCUCUCGGAGCAACUGCUGCGCACCACCCUCGCUCUCCUGGCCCGGCUGGGGUGAGUCCUUCCUGCAGAAAGACGCUCCAGGAUGCAGAGCCGCAGGGGAGGGCACGCAGAGCCCCGGGCACACACGCCAAGCUGGGCACUGGCUGGUCAGAACACUUCGCCUGCAGCCCCUGCCCACUGUGCUGGGCAUCCAGAUGUCCCACACUGAGCACGGGGCUGGGCGGGGGGUCUCCAGGCCCACUGAGAGAGUGGCACCGGUGACUCGGGGGGGCGCUGUUCCCUGGGAGGCAGAGCUGAGCCCAGCACUGUGUGUCACACCCGUGCCUGCCGCCCCUCCCGCGGCAAUCCCAGCCAUAAAUGGCCGGUGGGGGAUGUGGGGGCUUUGCUGCUUGGCACACCAGACUGCUUUUGUCGCCAUGAACCCUGUUUUUCAGGAGCUUUCUUUUGUGUGUGAAUUAAAUCAACUGAUUUUUAGAACAA
Molecule: long non-coding RNA, 3090 nt
Organism: Mauremys mutica (yellowpond turtle)
Lineage: Eukaryota; Metazoa; Chordata; Testudines; Geoemydidae
Exons: 2
Source: RefSeq, a predicted model, not a curated record